UAGGGAAUAUUAGAAAUGGACGAAAGUCUGAUCUAGCAACACCGCGUGUGCGAAGAAGGCCUUCGGGUUGUAAAGCACUUUUUGGCAGGAUUAGGAAGGAAUGUACUUCCAGAAUAAGUCUCGGCUAACUACGUGCCAGCAGCCGCGGUAACACGUAGGAGGCAAACGUUAUCCGGAUUUACUGGGCGUAAAGCGCGUGUAGGUGGUUCUGUAAGUAGGGCGUGAAAGCUCCUGGCUCAACGGGGAGAGGCCGUUCUAAACUGCAGAGCUAGAGGAUGGUAGAGGGAGGUGGAAUUCCGGGUGUAGCGGUGGAAUGCGCAGAUAUCCGGAGGAACACCAGUGGCGAAAGCGGCCUCCUGGACCAUUCCUGACACUCAGACGCGAAGGCUAGGGUAGCAAACG
This 402-nucleotide ribosomal RNA is filed under the name uncultured prokaryote. RNAcentral describes it as "bacterial SSU rRNA". It matches the Rfam family "Bacterial small subunit ribosomal RNA", at positions 355 to 774 of the family's 1533-position model. The record is from RNAcentral.